Molecule: non-coding RNA, 74 nt
Organism: Lactobacillus kefiranofaciens subsp. kefirgranum
Lineage: Bacteria; Bacillati; Bacillota; Bacilli; Lactobacillales; Lactobacillaceae
Source: Rfam
CGGGAAAUGGCUCAGUUUGGUAGAGCGCUGCGUUCGGGACGCAGAGGUCGCAAGUUCAAAUCUUGUUUUCCCGA